GACGAACGCUGGCGGCGUGCCUAACACAUGCAAGUCGAACGACUGGCGAAUGGGUGAGUAACCCGUGGGUGCCCAGUCUUGCACUUCGGGAUAAGCUUGGGAUAGUGGGUCUAACACCGGCUAGUGAACGAUGAGCUCGCGGCCUAUCAGCUUGUUGGGGGGGUAAUGGCUACCAAGGCGCGACGGGUAGCCGGCCUGGGCGGGAGUACGGCCACAUUGGGAAUGGGGUACGGCCCAGACUCCUACGGGAGGCAGCAGGGGGGAAUAUUGCGAAAUGGGCGGAAGCCUGAUGCAGCGACGCCGCGUGAGUGGUGACGGCCUUCGGGUUGUAAAGCUCUGUUAAUCGGGACGCGGUACCGGAAUAGAAAGCCACGGCUAACUACGUGCCAGCAGCCGCGGUAAUUC
This 405-nucleotide ribosomal RNA is filed under the name uncultured bacterium. Its description in RNAcentral is "partial 16S ribosomal RNA". It matches the Rfam family "Bacterial small subunit ribosomal RNA", at positions 28 to 526 of the family's 1533-position model. The record is from RNAcentral.